CGCAUCCCCCACCUUCCUCGCCUCCGACCCCGCCGAGGCCGCACCACGACUCUUUUUUUUUUCCUCUCCGACUCUCCUCCACCGUCUCCGACGACGACGCCUCUCUCACCCUUCCCCGCCCUUCUCGUCCUCUACCUCUCCCUCCUCUUCUUCCGCCUCCAACAACGACGUAUCUUCGUCGACGCCGACACCGUGGAGGUCGCUGCGGCGCUGCAGCCUCGGAACUGGGGGUCCUUAGCGGCGUCGUCGCCGGCGCCGUGGCUGUUGGCAGAAAGGGAUGACAAAAAAAAUAUAUAGAAGAAGCAAGAAAAAAAAAUAAAGAUAAAAAAUUGUAGAAAAAUAAAGAUGAAGAUGAAAUUGCACCUUUAAAAUAAAAUUGUACUGUUUUAAAAGAACGUUGUACUAUUAUGGAUAUAAGUUGCACUACUUAAGAUGUAAACUGCAGCUUUAAGAUGAAAAUUACACUCUUUAAAUGAAAAUUACACUCUUUGGGAGAUAUUUAUACUGUUUCUCCUCUUAUUGCACUCUUUCAGAUGUAAACUGCAUCCAUUAAGAUGAAAGUUGCACUCUUUGAGAGAUAUUUACACUGUUUCUCGUCUUGUUGCACUCUUUGAGAUGUAAACUGCACCCAUGUAAGAGAUAUUUACACUGUUUCUCCUCCUGUUGCACUGUUUCUCCUCUUGUUAUACUAUUUUUAUCUUAAACUGCACCCUUUAAGAGGAGAAACAGUGUAAUAAGAGAAAAAUAGUGCAACAAGAGAAAAAAUAGUGCAACAAGAGGAGAAACAGUAUAAAUAUCUUUUAAAUGAGUGUAGUUUACAUCUCAAAGAGUGCAAGAAAGGAAAAAACAGUGUAAAUAUCUCUCAAAGAGUGCAACUUUCGUUUAAAAAGUGUAACUUUUAUCUUAAUGGAUGCAGUUUAUAUCUGAAAGAGUGCAAUAAGAAGAGAAACAGUGUAAAUAUCUACCAAAGAGUGUAAUUUUUGUUUAAAAAAUAUAAUUUUUAUCUUAAAACUGCAAUUUACAUCUUAAGUAGUGCAACUUAUGUCCAUAAUAGUAUAACGUUCUUUUAACGGUGCAAUUUCACCUUCAUCUUUCUUUUUCUAUAAUUUUUUAUUAUUAAUUUUUUUACUUCUUCUAUAAUUUUUUUUGGUCACCGCUCUCUGCCAACGGCAACGGCGUCGGC
RNAcentral lists this long non-coding RNA (1183 nucleotides) under Ananas comosus (pineapple). RNAcentral's name for it is "long non-coding RNA (ACOM_LNC000752)". Lineage: Eukaryota; Viridiplantae; Streptophyta; Magnoliopsida; Poales; Bromeliaceae. The record is from RNAcentral.